AAUGAACGCUAGCGGCAGGCCUAACACAUGCAAGUCGAGGGGCAUCACGGAAAAGCUUGCUUUUCUGGUGGCGACCGGCGCACGGGUGCGGAACGCGUAUGGAACCUGCCCCUGUCAGGGGAAUAGCCCAGGGAAACUUGGAUUAAUGCCCCAUGGUACCGUUAUAUCGCAUGAUAUUACGGUUAAAGAUUUAUCGGACAGGGAUGGCCAUGCGUACCAUUAGUUAGUUGGUGGGGUAACGGCUCACCAAGGCAGCGAUGGUUAGGGGCCCUGAGAGGGGGGAUCCCCCCGACACUUGGUACUGAGACACGGGACCAGACUCCUACGGGGAGGCAGCAGUGAGGAAUAUUGGACAAUGGGCGGGAGCCUGAUCCAGCCAUGCCGCGUGCAGGAUGACGGCCCUAUAGGUUGUAAACUGCUUUUAUACGGGAAGAAACGCGCCCACGUGUGGGCGUUUGACGGUACCGUAAGAAUAAGGACCGGCUAACUCCGUGCCAGCCGCCGCGGUAAU
This 511-nucleotide ribosomal RNA is filed under the name uncultured bacterium. Its description in RNAcentral is "bacterial SSU rRNA". It matches the Rfam family "Bacterial small subunit ribosomal RNA", at positions 29 to 524 of the family's 1533-position model. The record is from RNAcentral.